RNAcentral lists this ribosomal RNA (573 nucleotides) under uncultured Actinomycetes bacterium. RNAcentral describes it as "bacterial SSU rRNA". It matches the Rfam family "Bacterial small subunit ribosomal RNA", at positions 869 to 1446 of the family's 1533-position model. The record is from RNAcentral. Lineage: Bacteria; Bacillati; Actinomycetota; Actinomycetes.
CCGCCUGGGGAGUACGAUCGCAAGAUUAAAACUCAAAGGAAUUGACGGGGCCCCGCACAAGCAGCGGAGCAUGCGGAUUAAUUCGACGCAACGCGAAGAACCUUACCAAGGCUUGACAUAUACAGGAAUACGGCAGAGAUGUCGUAGCCGCAAGGUGGGAAUAUAGGUGGUGCAUGGUUGUCGUCAGCUUGUGUCGUGAGAUGUUGGGUUAAGUCCCGCAACGAGCGCAACCCUCAACCCUUGUUGCCAGCAUUUAGUUGGGGACUCACAGGAGACUGCCGGGGUUAACUCGGAGGAAGGUGGGGAGGACGUCAAAUCAUCAUGCCCCCUAUGUGGUGGGGUGCACGCAUGUUACAAUGGCUGGUACAAACGGGUGCAAUACCGCAAGGUGGAGAGAAUCCGAGAAAGCCAGUCUCAGUUCGGAUUGGGGUGUGCAACUCGACCCCAUGAAGUCGGAAAGCUAGUAAUCGUAGAUCAGCAACGCUACGGGGAAUACGUUCCCGGGGUUUGUACACACCGCCCGUCACGUCCAGAAAGUCGGUAACACCCAAAGUCAGUGGCCCAACCGUAAGG